GACGAACGCUGGCGGCGUGCUUAACACAUGCAAGUCGAACGGAAAGGCCCUGCUUUUGUGGGGUGCUCGAGUGGCGAACGGGUGAGUAACACGUGAGUAACCUGCCCUUGACUUUGGGAUAACUUCAGGAAACUGGGGCUAAUACCGGAUAAUAUAUUGAACCGCAUGGUUCAAUAGUGAAAGACGGUUUUGCUGUCACUUAUAGAUGGAUCCGCGCCGCAUUAGCUAGUUGGUAAGGUAACGGCUUACCAAGGCAACGAUGCGUAGCCGACCUGAGAGGGUGAUCGGCCACACUGGAACUGAGACACGGUCCAGACUCCUACGGGAGGCAGCAGUAGGGAAUCUUCCGCAAUGGGCGAAAGCCUGACGGAGCAACGCCGCGUGAGUGAUGAAGGUCUUCGGAUCGUAAAACUCUGUUAUUAGGGAAGAACAAAUGUGUAAGUAACUAUGCACGUCUUGACGGUACCUAAUCAGAAAGCCACGGCUAACUACGUG
RNAcentral lists this ribosomal RNA (495 nucleotides) under uncultured bacterium. RNAcentral's name for it is "partial 16S ribosomal RNA". It matches the Rfam family "Bacterial small subunit ribosomal RNA", at positions 28 to 507 of the family's 1533-position model. The record is from RNAcentral.